CCAGCAGCCGCGGUAAUACGAAGGGGGCUAGCGUUGUUCGGAUUUACUGGGCGUAAAGGGUGCGUAGGCGGAUGGUUAAGUCAGGGGUGAAAUGCCGAGGCUCAACCUCGGAACUGCCUUUGAUACUGGCGAUCUUGAGUCCGGGAGAGGUGAGUGGAACUGCGAGUGUAGAGGUGAAAUUCGUAGAUAUUCGCAAGAACACCGGUGGCGAAGGCGGCUCACUGGCCCGGAACUGACGCUGAGGCACGAAAGCGUGGGGAGCAAACAGGAUUAGAUACCCUGGUAGUCCACGCCUUAAACGAUGAAUGCCAGCCGUUAGGUGAUUUAUCACUGAGUGGCGCAGCUAACGCUUUAAGCAUUCCGCCUGGGGAGUACGGUCGCAAGAUUAAAACUCAAAGGAAUUGACGG
Molecule: ribosomal RNA, 408 nt
Filed under: uncultured Hyphomicrobiales bacterium
Lineage: Bacteria; Pseudomonadati; Pseudomonadota; Alphaproteobacteria; Hyphomicrobiales
Description: bacterial SSU rRNA
Rfam family: Bacterial small subunit ribosomal RNA
Source: RNAcentral